This 253-nucleotide ribosomal RNA is filed under the name uncultured bacterium. Its description in RNAcentral is "partial 16S ribosomal RNA". It matches the Rfam family "Bacterial small subunit ribosomal RNA", at positions 524 to 776 of the family's 1533-position model. The record is from RNAcentral.
UACGGAGGGUGCGAGCGUUAAUCGGAAUUACUGGGCGUAAAGGGUGCGUAGGUGGUAUGGUAAGUUAUCUGUAAAAUCCCUGGGCUCAACCUGGGCAGGUCAGAUAAUACUGCUGUACUCGAGUAUGGGAGAGGGUAGUGGAAUUUCCGGUGUAGCGGUGAAAUGCGUAGAGAUCGGAAGGAACACCAGUGGCGAAGGCGGCUACCUGGCCUAAUACUGACACUGAGGCACGAAAGCGUGGGGAGCAAACAGG